Molecule: long non-coding RNA, 697 nt
Filed under: Anas platyrhynchos platyrhynchos (common mallard)
Lineage: Eukaryota; Metazoa; Chordata; Aves; Anseriformes; Anatidae
Description: lncRNA (ENSAPLG00000026480.1)
Source: RNAcentral
CUCUCUUCUUCUUCCUUCCCCUCUGUCUGCUUCCAGCUACUUCUCAGACUUGCAGAUGCUGAGCUUGCCAGACCCAGACUCCUGAAUGUCCAUGGUCAGAGCUUGUGAACUUCGUCUUUACAAAAUGCAUCAAGAAAUGCCAGGAUGGGUGCAUAUAACCAUAGACUGCACUUUCUAUGGGCAAACUUGUCAUCUGAAAUCUGUGCUACGCAUGAAGCUGUGGGCUUGUGCCUCCUGAAGCCUGCCACUUUUCUGUGGUCAUUUGGAGAUGAUUAGUGCCAUCGUCCCCCUGUGCCCUCCUCUGUAGACUGGCACCUCGUUGUUGAUACUAAAUGAACCAAGAGAGUUGUCUUCAACCUGGUGGUUAAUGUGGGAGGAGGAUUUGCAGGAAUAAUACCCGGACUCCAAUUAAAAUUUACUUGAAAGAUUAUUAUAAACAUGUUCAGGAGAGGCUAUGUAUAUUAAUCUUUGAGAAAGCAGCUUAUUUGGAGACAGCUAAAGACUGACUUGUGUUUCAGCUCUCUUUAGUACUCAAGCAAGGGUUCAUAAGUCCACUUACACUUGCAUUUCAAAGGAUUUUUUUUCAGCUUCCCUUCACAGAGCCACAGGACAAGAAGGAGGGGAUGUUAGAAAAUAGUGUCUUUAAGAAUAAUGGUGCAGAAAUAAAUGUACUCAGAAAAAUUAUGGAGGAGGUCUG